RNAcentral lists this ribosomal RNA (403 nucleotides) under Verrucomicrobiota bacterium. RNAcentral describes it as "Verrucomicrobia bacterium partial 16S ribosomal RNA". It matches the Rfam family "Bacterial small subunit ribosomal RNA", at positions 355 to 776 of the family's 1533-position model. The record is from RNAcentral. Lineage: Bacteria; Pseudomonadati; Verrucomicrobiota.
UGGGGAAUAUUGCACAAUGGGGGAAACCCUGAUGCAGCGACGCCGCGUGAGCGAAGAAGGCUUUCGAGUCGUAAAGCUCUGUCCUAUGAGAAGAUAAUGACGGUAUCAUAGGAGGAAGCCCUGGCUAAAUACGUGCCAGCAGCCGCGGUAAUACGUAUGGGGCGAGCGUUGUCCGGAAUUAUUGGGCGUAAAGGGUACGUAGGUGGUUUUUUAAGUCAGGUGUCAAAGCGUGGAGCUUAACUCCAUUAAGCACUUGAAACUGAAAGACUUGAGUGAAGGGGAGGAAAGUGGAAUUCCUAGUGUAGCGGUGAAAUGCGUAGAUAUUAGGAGGAAUACCGGUGGCGAAGGCGACUUUCUGGACUUUUACUGACGCUCAGGUACGAAAGCGUGGGGAGCAAACAGG